Molecule: ribosomal RNA, 491 nt
Filed under: uncultured bacterium
Lineage: Bacteria
Description: partial 16S ribosomal RNA
Rfam family: Bacterial small subunit ribosomal RNA
Source: RNAcentral
AGUGAACGCUGGCGGUAGGCCUAACACAUGCAAGUCGAACGGCAGCACAGUAAGAGCUUGCUCUUACGGGUGGCGAGUGGCGGACGGGUGAGGAAUACAUCGGAAUCUACUUUUUCGUGGGGGAUAACGUAGGGAAACUUACGCUAAUACCGCAUACGACCUACGGGUGAAAGCAGGGGAUCUUCGGACCUUGCGCGAUUGAAUGAGCCGAUGUCGGAUUAGCUAGUUGGCGGGGUAAAGGCCCACCAAGGCGACGAUCCGUAGCUGGUCUGAGAGGAUGAUCACCCACACUGGAACUGAGACACGGCCCAGCCUCCUAGGGGAGGCAGCAGUGGGGAAUUUUGGACAAUGGGCGCAACCCUGAUCCGGCCAUACCGGGGGGGUGAAGAAGGCCUUCGGGUUGUAAAGCCCUUUUGUUGGGAAAGAAAAGCAGCAGGUUAAUCCCCCGCUUUUCUGACGGUACCCAAAAAAUAAGCCCCGGCUACCUUCGU